Molecule: ribosomal RNA, 490 nt
Filed under: uncultured bacterium
Lineage: Bacteria
Description: bacterial SSU rRNA
Rfam family: Bacterial small subunit ribosomal RNA
Source: RNAcentral
GAGUUUGAUCAUGGCUCAGGAUGAACGCUGGCGGCGUGCCUAACACAUGCAAGUCGAGCGAUUUACUUCAGUAAAGAGCGGCGGACGGGUGAGUAACGCGUGGGUAACCUGCCUCAUACACAUGGAUAACAUGCCGAAAGGUAUGCUAAUACAGGAUAAUAUAAGAGAUUCACAUGGAUUUCUUAUCAAAGCUCCGGCGGUAUGAGAUGGACCCGCGUCUGAUUAGCUAGUUGGUAAGGUAAUGGCUUACCAAGGCGACGAUCAGUAGCCGACCUGAGAGGGUGAUCGGCCACAUUGGAACUGAGACACGGUCCAAACUCCUACGGGAGGCAGCAGUGGGGAAUAUUGCACAAUGGGCGAAAGCCUGAUGCAGCAACGCCGCGUGAGUGAUGAAGGCCUUCGGGUCGUAAAACUCUGUCCUCAAGGAAGAUAAUGACGGUACUUGAGGAGGAAGCCCCGGCUAACUACGUGCCAGCAGCCGCGGUAAUAC